RNAcentral lists this ribosomal RNA (869 nucleotides) under uncultured archaeon. Its description in RNAcentral is "bacterial SSU rRNA". It matches the Rfam family "Archaeal small subunit ribosomal RNA", at positions 1 to 878 of the family's 1478-position model. The record is from RNAcentral.
CUCCGGUUGAUCCUGCCGGACCUGACUGCUAUCGGAUUGGUACUAAGCCAUGCGAGUCAUUGUAGCAAUACAAGGCGGACGGCUCAGUAACACGUAGUCAACCUAACUCGUGGACGUGGAUAACCUCGGGAAACUGAGAAUAAACCACGAUAGAUCAUAGUGCCUGGAAUGGCUUAUGGUCCAAACAGUUUACUGCCAUGGGAUGGGACUGCGGCCUAUCAGCUUGUUGGUGAGGUAAUGGCCCACCAAGGCGAUUACAGGUACGGGCUCUGAGAGGAGAAGCCCGGAGAUGGGUACUGAGACACGGACCCAGGCCCUAUGGGGCGCAGCAGGCAAGAAACCUUAGCAAUGUGCGAAAGCACGACUGGGUCAGUCCGAGUGAUUCCUGAUAAAGGAGUCUUUUGCUUGUCCUAAAAGCACAGGUGAAUAAGGGGUGGGCAAGUCUGGUGUCAGCCGCCGCGGUAAUACCAGCACCCCGAGUGGUCGGGACGAUUAUUGGGCCUAAAGCAUCCGUAGCCGGUUCUGCAAGUCUUCCGUUAAAUCCAGCCGCUCAACGGAUGGGCCGCGGAGGAUACUACAGGACUAGGAGGCGGGAGAGGCAAGCGGUACUCAGUGGGUAGGGGUAAAAUCCUUUGAUCCAUUGAAGACCACCAGUGGCGAAGGCGGCUUGCCAGAACGCGCUCGACGGUGAGGGAUGAAAGCUGGGGGAGCAAACCGGAUUAGAUACCCGGGUAGUCCCAGCUGUAAACGAUGCAGACUCGGUGAUGGGCUAGCCUUGUGCCAGCCCAGUGCCGCAGGGAAGCCGUUAAGUCUGCCGCCUGGGGAGUACGGUCGCAAGACUGAAACUUAAAGGAAUUGGCGGGGGAGCC